Molecule: ribosomal RNA, 253 nt
Filed under: uncultured prokaryote
Description: partial 16S ribosomal RNA
Rfam family: Bacterial small subunit ribosomal RNA
Source: RNAcentral
ACGUAGGUGGCAAGCGUUAUCCGGAAUUAUUGGGCGUAAAGCGCGCGCAGGCGGUUUCUUAAGUCUGAUGUGAAAGCCCACGGCUCAACCGUGGAGGGUCAUUGGAAACUGGGGAACUUGAGUGCAGAAGAGAAAAGCGGAAUUCCACGUGUAGCGGUGAAAUGCGUAGAGAUGUGGAGGAACACCAGUGGCGAAGGCGGCCUUCUGGGUCCGCCCUGACGCUGAGGCGCGAAAGCGUGGGGAGCAAACAGGA